AUGGCUCACCAGGAUCGCGUACACCUGCCGAAAACAAUCACAAUACUCUGCUUUAAAUAGCAGUACUGGGUCACGGCGGAGUGACAGGCCGGUAAUGGGUUAAGAAGAAACAUUUCUCUGCUGUUCAGGACUGUCCUAGAUGCCCGCACAGACAUGAUGUGUUUCUCAUGUAUGUGGAUCCCCAUGAGGACCAUCUGUCAGCGCAUGAAGGUGAGAAGACUGAUGAAGGUGAUCUUGAAGCGUUAGUUCACCUAAAAAUGACAAUUCUGUUAUUAAAGGGAUAGUUCACCCAAAAAUUUAAAUGUACUGUUAAUUUACUCACCUAUCAAAGAUGUACAUGCCUUUUGUUCUUCAGCAGAACAUUAUAGAAGUUAUUUAGCUGAAUCUGUGGUGAUUGGUGAUUUACAGUGCAUCCAGAAAGUAUUCAUAGCACUUCACUUCUUCAACAUUUUUUUUAAUG
Molecule: non-coding RNA, 460 nt
Organism: Danio rerio (zebrafish)
Lineage: Eukaryota; Metazoa; Chordata; Actinopteri; Cypriniformes; Danionidae
Source: RefSeq, a predicted model, not a curated record